Molecule: ribosomal RNA, 459 nt
Filed under: uncultured bacterium
Lineage: Bacteria
Description: partial 16S ribosomal RNA
Rfam family: Bacterial small subunit ribosomal RNA
Source: RNAcentral
CCUACGGGUGGCAGCAGUGAGGAAUAUUGGUCAAUGGGCGCGAGCCUGAACCAGCCAAGUCGCGUGAGGGAAGACGGUCCUAUGGAUUGUAAACUUCUUUUGUCGGGGAGCAAAAGACGCCACGCGUGGCGUUCCGAGAGUACCCGAAGAAAAAGCAUCGGCUAACUCCGUGCCAGCAGCCGCGGUAAUACGGAGGAUGAGAGCGUUAUCCGGAUUUAUUGGGUUUAAAGGGUGCGCAGGGGGAAGAUCAAGUCAGGGGUAAAAUUGAGAGGCUCAACCACUUCGAGCCGUUGAAACUGGUCUUCUUGAGUGAGUGAGAGGUAUGCGGAAUGCGUGGUGGAGCGGUGAAAUGCAGAGAUAUCACGAAGAACUCCGAUUGCGAAGGCAGAAUACCGGAGCUCAACUGACGCUCAUGCACGAAAGUGUGGGUAUCGAACAGGAUUAGAUACCCGAGUAGUC